GAUGAACGCUGGCGGCGUGCCUAAUACAUGCAAGUCGAGCGAACAGACGAGGAGCUUGCUCCUCUGACGUUAGCGGCGGACGGGUGAGUAACACGUGGAUAACCUACCUAUAAGACUGGGAUAACUUCGGGAAACCGGAGCUAAUACCGGAUAAUAUAUUGAACCGCAUGGUUCAAUAGUGAAAGACGGUUUUGCUGUCACUUAUAGAUGGAUCCGCGCCGCAUUAGCUAGUUGGUAAGGUAACGGCUUACCAAGGCGACGAUGCGUAGCCGACCUGAGAGGAUGAUCAGCCACACUGGAACUGAGACACGGUCCAGACUCCUACGGGAGGCAGCAGUGGGGAAUAUUCGGCAAUGGGCGAAAGCCUGACGGAGCCACGCCGCGUGAGUGAAGAAGGUCUUCGGAUCGUAAAGCCCUGUUGUUAGGAAAGAAAAACAGUAUGAGAAAAUACGCCCGUCUUGACGGUACCUAAAGAGAAAGCACCGGCUAACUACGUG
RNAcentral lists this ribosomal RNA (497 nucleotides) under uncultured bacterium. RNAcentral's name for it is "partial 16S ribosomal RNA". It matches the Rfam family "Bacterial small subunit ribosomal RNA", at positions 28 to 507 of the family's 1533-position model. The record is from RNAcentral.